Small nuclear RNA from Oryctolagus cuniculus (rabbit), 95 nucleotides. Its record names the gene U2. It matches the Rfam family "U2 spliceosomal RNA". From Rfam's summary of the family: U2 is a small nuclear RNA (snRNA) component of the spliceosome (involved in pre-mRNA splicing). The record is from Ensembl. Lineage: Eukaryota; Metazoa; Chordata; Mammalia; Lagomorpha; Leporidae.
AUCCCUUCUCAGCCUUUUGGCUAAGAUCAAGUGUAGUAUUCUCUAGUCAAUAUAUCAAUUAUGUAUCAAUGUCCUUUGAUCUGUGGUCAGUUUUU